Molecule: long non-coding RNA, 569 nt
Organism: Neogale vison (American mink)
Lineage: Eukaryota; Metazoa; Chordata; Mammalia; Carnivora; Mustelidae
Exons: 3
Source: RefSeq, a predicted model, not a curated record
UGACCCAGGAACCAGGUCGGUCAUUUGGGCCUGGAACAUCCAAGGCCCUCCCUCCAUAAGCACUUUCCAGUCCUGUAAAGGCUAAUUCAAGGUCAAGCGAGUCCCAGACCCUACCAGGAAUUAUUGGAGCCACAGCAGCCAUCUUGUAGCCAUGAGAGCGAAUUUCGUAGCUGAAGAUGGUGGACAGGAGGUGAGACUCUGAAGCUUCCAGGCAAUGCUGAACAGCGACCCAGGCUGCCUUUGUCUAGACUUCUCGUUAGAAUUGUGGAUAGCUACACAUUAAAACAGUGUACCUGAAUGAUUAAUCUGUGAUGUUAUUCCAGGGACUUGAUAACAACAAAUACUGAAUAUAUACUUUAAAAAAUAGUAAUACCAAAAAAGAAAAGUAAUACCUGCAUAAGACCACCCAGAGAGAGAACAAAAUGACUUAGCUGUUUAUAAGUAUUUACUGUAUGAUUAAGUUGAUAGGUCAGUAGGGAUAUACUAAUUCAAUCAUUGGUUAAAUAUUUGAAAAAAAAAAGAUAAAAUUCAAUUCUGAUGGAUCAAAAACCUCAAGGAUUUUUUUUUUA